This 784-nucleotide unclassified non-coding RNA is filed under the name Hevea brasiliensis (rubber tree). Lineage: Eukaryota; Viridiplantae; Streptophyta; Magnoliopsida; Malpighiales; Euphorbiaceae. The record is from RNAcentral.
AUCAAACCCUAAUUUACUUUCCUAUCAAAUUUUAUAUUUUCCCAUCAUAUUUUGAUCCCUAAUUGCCUUUCCUAUCAAACAGCCAAAUUCUUGUCUUUUCCCCAUUUUAUUUGAUCUCUAAUCCUCCUUUGCAAACCCUGAUCCAACACAUACUUCAUGCCUUUUUUAACCUUUCAUGUUAGCCUAAGACGAGCACUAAACUCUAAUGCAUGAAGAAGAAAAAUAAAUCCAUAUGUUUCCAUUGCCUCUCUGAAUCCAGCACAUUGUACACCCAUAUAUUUUCAUUUGAUCCAGAUACCCCAACCCAAUUGCAUGCUUCUCCUAGGUUGAACAAAUCCUACAUGAAUAAAAAUUGAGUUUGUUAAUCUUAGCUAAAAAGAAAGAAGCUGCUAACACUUUCCUUUAUCAAUCAAUAUUCUUCCCACAAUUUCUCUAUUAAACCAAUGAAACCUUCGAACUUAAUUUUUUUAAAACUGUUCUGUGACAAAUAUUCAUAUCCAUAGGUUCAUAUAGUUUUAAUUUCAAUAUGAUGGUGCUGCACUAUAAUGCUGAAACCUCACAAUGGGUGCGCAUGUACAUAAUUUCAACACCUGUUCUCAUGAUUAUUCCUCAAUAUAGUAUUAUUAUCCCAGCCCCCCUAACAUAAAUCAUAUAAUAAAAUACAUAAAUAUGGAAAAAUCCAAAGUAUAAUUUAAAAGAAAUAAGAAUAUAAUGCUGGAAACAAACCUCCCAAAACCAGGAUAUCAGAGGAUCGGUUUCUUUGUAGCCAUUGUACUCGGUAUGU